CUGUCCUUGCAGUCCUUUCCCAGGUUGCUGCAGCUUCUUGACAAGCACAGCCCUGUGUUGUUAUGCACAGAAAAAACACUGCUGGUGACUUCUCCUCCCACUCAGUGUGUCCCCAUCCAGGGCCCCACAUCUCUCAGUCUCAACAGCAGAGCAGGAGCAGCAGACAUGCUGCUGCUGGCAGCUCUGAUGGUUGCAACUGCCUGGUCCUAUGGACAUGCACAGGAAACUCCCAUACAGAGCCCUGUAUCCAUCACCAUAUCACAAGGAAAUGCAGAUCUGAAGUGUCAUUUUAAGGACUUCUCUGGACAUUUUGAUAGCACCGUCAUACACUGGUAUCAACAGAAGAAGAAUAAAGGUCCAGUCAGGAUGAUCUACUUUUCAUCAGGGACAGUAGUAGCAGAUGAGAGUUUCCAAAGGCACAGAUACAGGAUUCAAACUAUUUCUGGACAGAAUCUUUGCAUUCUUACCAUAAGAAGUGUAAUUCCAGAUGAUGCUGCCACGUACUACUGUGCCUACUGGGACCCUCACAGUGGCAGAUGCCAAACAAUCACCACAACAAAUACUUCCUCAGCAGCUCAACCACAGAUCAUUUGGAACGACCAGGUGCCAAGCAGAUUUCUGCUCUGUGGGCAGAAGAAUAGCAAUGGACUGAGACACAGUUCAUCUGUCCUGGUAGAUGUUGGCCACAGGGUUUAGUCUCAUGUUCUCUCCAUACGGUGCCUAACACAAAUGUGGCUGUAACUGACUGAGGUUGCCCACACAGCAGAUGCAAGGAGUGACUGUGUGCGUGCAUCUCUCUCCCUUCUCCUUCAAAUCUGUUCCAUCCUUCUCUCCUUCUUGCUCAUGCACUGAAGCCACCUACC
Lagopus muta (rock ptarmigan) is the source of this 863-nucleotide non-coding RNA. Lineage: Eukaryota; Metazoa; Chordata; Aves; Galliformes; Phasianidae. The record is from the annotation of a RefSeq genome assembly.